GAGUAGGUGGCUGAAGAAGGUAAUAAAUUGUAAAUUUAUGUAUGAGAAGAAUUUCUCCCUGCUUA
Molecule: transfer RNA, 65 nt
Filed under: Palaemon gravieri
Lineage: Eukaryota; Metazoa; Arthropoda; Malacostraca; Decapoda; Palaemonidae
Description: tRNA-Tyr
Source: RNAcentral